RNAcentral lists this long non-coding RNA (252 nucleotides) under Elaeis guineensis (African oil palm). RNAcentral describes it as "long non-coding RNA (EGUI_LNC027355)". The record is from RNAcentral. Lineage: Eukaryota; Viridiplantae; Streptophyta; Magnoliopsida; Arecales; Arecaceae.
CAUCAUCAGAAAGAUACAACUAAAUCAACAUAUCAUAAAUGAUAAUUCUGAUAGCCAGAUGAGCACCAGGUAUGUGGCACCUCCAAUAAUCAUCUAAACUGUUGGACUCAUUAUUAUCUAACUUAAUGGGAGGCUAUGAUCUAGUUAUCAUCAUGACUAUUUCAUUGUAGGGACUUAACAAUUUUAGAGGAUUUAAUUAGUUGAAUUAAGAGAUGGGCAAAGACUUGACCAGUUAAUCUUAAUCCUCCCACU